UAUCUUCAACUCUGAAGGAACAUCCGUAUUAUGUAAAACAAAACAUUUUUACAAAACAAAUCAAAUAAGAGUUUUACAUCUUUUAGAUCUAGGACUUCUUUAAAUGGUUAAAAAUAUUUUUCACAAAGCUGAUAAUUGACAUAAAGUUUCACUGACAUGCAUAAUAUCGCUAAAGUAGAUGAGUAUGAUGAAGGAUUAAGCUCAUUGUCAAUGUAUAAGUAUCAAUAAGGUUAUGGAAAACAGAAAUUGAAAAUUGGAAAGCAGUUUUAUUCUUAUUUUUAUGAUUAACUUACCAUUUAAAGCAGAAACAAAAAUGUAACAUUUUCAUUUGGCAUGAAACACGGCAGGUGCAGAUAAUUUCUCAUUCAAUUUAUAAAUGACAGGAGCAGAUAAUUUCACAUUUAAUUUAUAAAUGACAGGAGCGGAUAAUUUCACAUUUAAUUUAUAAAUGACAGGAGCAGA
Molecule: non-coding RNA, 462 nt
Organism: Biomphalaria pfeifferi
Lineage: Eukaryota; Metazoa; Mollusca; Gastropoda; Planorbidae
Source: the annotation of a GenBank genome assembly